Molecule: long non-coding RNA, 1073 nt
Filed under: Cyanistes caeruleus (blue tit)
Lineage: Eukaryota; Metazoa; Chordata; Aves; Passeriformes; Paridae
Description: lncRNA (ENSCCEG00000022887.1)
Source: RNAcentral
CUGGAAAGAAGCCAAGCACCUUAUCAUCCCAGUAAAGUCCCAGCAUGCACUGGGAUUCAGAUCCGCAAAAAUUUUAGCUCACCUCUGAGUUUGCUGCUGCCACCCAUGUGCCAGCCCUGCCACCACCCAGCCAAGACCCAGCUGCACAGAGCUUGCCCGAAUUCUCUCCUUCAAUGCUUGCUUCCUCACUGUCCUGAUACUGCCUCUCUGCCCUGAAGUCAGUGUUGCUCCUUCUUCAAGAAAAGUUCAUCCUGUCCUGGCUGAAAUGGAUGCAAGAAGUCCCUGCAGUUGCAACAGGAGUGGACUUCACCUUGCACAGGAUCUGGGGAAGAGUUGGCAUCAGCCUUCAGAUUAAAAUUCAAGAGUUCCUGGCUCUCCUUUAAAGUGCACAUUACCAUGCUCCCCUGCUCACAGCCAUCCAUCAGCUCUGCCUAUUCCACAAGUGCUUUGUAAAGGCUUCAUUUUUUAGAAGCAAACUUCUGUCUUCUCAUCCACUUUCCACAUUUGGAAUAUUUGAGCACCUUUAGCAGGUUUCUGUCCAAAUUUGGCAGUCUCUCUUGGAAGCCAAAGAGAAUUAAUCACCUGCCAAGGAGAAAUUAAUCACUUUGUUUCUGCCUCCCCCAUGCAUGAUGACAGAAAUUCAAGCCUUUGGCUCCACCAGCAGCAGCCACAAGUGGUUUAAGACUGCUUUAACUGUCCUGCAUCACCUCUCCCAUCUUCUCCCUGCUUGCAGCUAAGCUCAGGCUAUUAUUAGCUGGUUUUAGUGAUGGAAUAGGCUUGCUUUUCCCCCUGCCCUUUCUGCCAUCAAGGAUGCACUGCGACUAAUACAAUCCUCAGCUCCAGGCUGAAUUACUGUGAUUGAACUACAUAGGGAAGCUCUGCCAAGGCUUUGACUUCAUGGCCAUGGGAUAGCUCCAUCUCAAGCAGAAGGAAGAGUGCCCUGGGGGUCUACUCACUUAUUCCCCACUUAUUUCCAGUCCAUUUCAAAAACAAGGAACUUAUCAACAAAGUUCAGCUGUAGCAGAGACCAUAUCUCCAGCUGCAACUCAGCUGGCAAAGGAUGCUCCUUUGGC